This 2561-nucleotide unclassified non-coding RNA is filed under the name Hevea brasiliensis (rubber tree). Lineage: Eukaryota; Viridiplantae; Streptophyta; Magnoliopsida; Malpighiales; Euphorbiaceae. The record is from RNAcentral.
AAAAAAAAAAAAAAAACAAAGGAUAAUAAAGCAUAAACAAACAAAACCACAAAAUGGAUUCAAUCCAGUGAGAGAUCACCAGCAACAUAAAGUUUCUAUGAAUUGUAAUGUCCCAUUCUCCCUAAAGGGAAACAAAAGGAGAAAAAUAACAAUGCAAUUUCCAAACACAAAAUCCACUCUUGAGAUUCAAACACAACCAAACCAAACGACAAGAAAUCAGCAUCGCCAAUAGCCAGAAGACCACUCAAUGUCCACAUAGAAUCACAGCCCCUCCACCACCUCCAGGGCUCCAGGCCAUUAAUGAGGGAGAGAAAUGAGAACUCAAAUGACAAACCAAGAUCAAUAUUAUAAGAGCCGUGUGUGAAAAAAUAAUGUUAUGUUAUCUGUCGUCAAUGUUUUCAUUAAAUGCUCCUCCCAACUUUCCAUUAAUGACUCCGCAAUUUUACCAGACUAGUCUCUUCUCAUUAACUCUCCUCCGCUUCCCGAUCUCCUUUCCAUUUAAUUCCCAUCUCCGCCCCUCCCUUUUCUAUCCAAUCCAUGCUCUCCACGUGUCUUUUCCUUUGUCUUUUCUUCACCUCCUGUUGUAUCUCUCCGGUGACAACAGCGCCUCGGGAUCCCCACACCUUAGUCUGCUCGACGAGAAUGCUGCCACCGAUGAUCUUUGGAACAUUGGACUCGCCAUCGACUUGCUCCGCCUUGAUGAUCCUCCUCCUCCGCUGCCUGUUGGGUAUCGCUCCGAUAAUGGGAAGAAUCCUCCUCUCCUUCUGAAAAAUGGUGAUUUCAUGCCUUUGUAAUGUCUAAAUGAGAAAACUCUAUGCUUUGAUAACGAUCCAAACGGCGAUGAACGUUUACUCCAGAAGCUUCCCCUCCGGUAACGCCAAGGUGACGUUGUCGUUGGUUCCAUCACCAACAUCCUCUCCGAUGCUAAGCUGCGCUCAAACCCGAAGGAAUAGGACCGUUUCAACAAGAAAUCACGGCCAGUGAAUCGAUCUUCAGAUUGACUGUAAUUGUUGAAAUUAUUACUGUUUCUUCUCGACGACGAUUCUUCAAUACACGGAGUGAUCUCCGUCACCGUCGUUAUGGUGGUUGUUGCUGUGUUGCCAGUAUGAGAAGGAGGAGGAGUGUGAAUUAUGGAUUCGGGCCCAAUACUAUGCAGAAUUGUGUCGUCAAGGCUAGGUCUGAUUCUAGAGGCCAUCACCGGUAUAAAAGGGGAAUCCGACCGGAAUAUUCUGGCACGGCACAGAGGGCAGUUAGCGUGAGACCUUAGCCAGAUAUCGAUACAAUCCACGUGAAAGGCGUGAGAGCAAACAGGAAGUGUACGGACGUAAUCGUUAUCUUCGAACUGCAGUAAGCAGACAGCACAGUCUUUACUGUUACUGCUCUCUUUGUGAAAGCCAUUUUUGGUGGUGUAGACGAAGAGAGGCAAAGUCUUUAUAACGGACUCAUCAAGUCCAUAAGGCGAAUACACAUGAAAACCGUCAGGUGAGUCGAAGGGAGGCGGCGGGGAGUCGAGGUCGCCGCUGGAGGAAGGGAUGUAACGGAGGCGACGACGGCGACGCCACCUUCGCCAGCGGCGGAGCACUCGGAUGAGGUAACGAGAAAUCAAGCGAGAGUACGUGAUUACCAAAAAAGCUGCGGCGACCACUACUACCAUGGCUAUCAAAGGUGGGCUGAAGUCAACGGGAAGUUUGGAGUCAGGCGGGGGUGACCAUGACUGGGUGGGAGUGGUAAUUGUAUUUGUAGUGACGACGGUGGAAGCGGGUGAUGGGCCCCGCCGGAAGUGGUGGUGCACCGGCGAAGGGGCAGGGGCCAAGGCUCUGAUAACCAUGUUGGUGGCGGUUUUGUGUAAAGUGUGUUAAUGGCGUUUCGAGGUUUUACUUUGUAUGUUGAGCGUGGGGUUCGUUUGUAUGGGUUAAUUGUUCCAAAAGUUGACCGUGAUUUGUCGACGGUGGGGGGAGAGGUGUCAUUGAAUAAGGCGCGUGGUAUCAGGUACAUAUGCAACCAGCUGUUCUCAAUAUUACUCGCCAUUUACUCUAUGCCACGUCAGAAAGCUUUUGAAAAUUGGGAGGUGUGUCUGACGGGGGCAUUGGGUGUUCUCUUUACUGCGUUGUGGUGUUUGUGUGGAAUAAGAAAAGAAAAUGCAAAAUUUGAUGUGGUGGCCCACAAUUCCUGGAUUAAUUUCCAUGGACUUUUUAAUAUUAAUAACAAUAAAAUAAAUCAAGAAUACGAAAACUAAUUGGAUGGGUGACUGACUAUUAUUGUCUAUUGGAUGAUAAUUGCGUAAGAUAAAAAAAAUAUAAAUAUUUAAAUAAUUAUUUUAAUUUGACGAAUCAUGACAAUGAAUAUAUAGUAUAAUUCAAAAAAAAAAAAGAAAAAAACUAUAAACUUGAUGAGUAUUGACAUAAUAAGUACAAGUAUACUUCAAAAGAAAUCAUAGACUCGACCAUUAUUGUCCAUUGCUCGAAAAUCCACUACUGAUUAUACAUAUUAAUAAUUUUCUUAUAAAAUGAGGUAAACAAAAAUGUUCUUUAAAUUACAUAUAUAUAUAUAAAGUUAAGUAG